GAAUUCAGUUUUGUCAGAUCACACUCUGUCUUGGUCAGAACUGGAUGGUGUUAAAGGAGAAGAUAUGGAUGAUUCACUCUGACUCAAUACAGAAAUCCUUCUUGUGGUCUAUAGACGAUGCUAUCUUUCAAGUUCCAGCUAGAAAAGAAAAUGAGUCUUAAUUGUGUGCAGCUUCCUGGAAGAUCAGCUCCAUCUCCCCCUGCAAGUCCUUUGAAUAAGGCUGUGAAGUUCUCACUGAGCUUUCUGACUGUCCACUGCGAAAAAAAAGGAAGAUCGUUGCAUUUUUUUUCAACGGAAAAAAACAAUCGAAGGAAACUAAAGAACUCCUUAAAUAACUCAGCAGCCUUUUUUCCCCCUCCAGCUCUACAGCACAGAUUCGCAGAAUGACUUUUAAAGAGAUAUCCUGCACCUGCAGAUAGAAAUGAAUAUAUAUGUUUUAAAGUACAACAAGCCUCUACAGAGUUUCACAGUGAGCUAAACCCAGUGACUUAAACCCGGCGCGCUGUAUCUUUACAUCUUUGGCUGUCAAAUCACGUUAAUAGCAGUGGGUGGUCAUGGUUGGAAAUUGACUUCCUAAAUCUCACAUUAGUAUCUAAGUGAUGCACCGUACAUGGGAAUCCAUAGAGGGUUAUGUAUUGUGUCCUCAUGCAAGAUUCUCAGUAUCCAAAGCCUUCUCGAAAACAAACCUUUUUGCUUAGUGAUUAGGUUACCGGGGGCCACGGGGGAGUUCAUCACAAGACUGCGAGAAAGAGAUGACAUGGUCCUGCCUGAGCCGGAGGAUGUGGACAACAGGACCAGCGGUGUGGGAAUUAGCCUGGGAUUGGUCAUAUAACCCAGCACAGGCCAAAUCCUGCUCUCCUUCCUGAGGACAUAUUCCCAUAGAAGACACAGGGCUGAGGGCAAAGGGAGUUUUGCCUUAUUCUGAGCACCGCAGGACAUGUCCCUGGGUGACAAGAGGAUGAAUUAUUAACACCCAGCAGGACUGAAGGCAGAGGCCCACCUCGCGUGAGCAAAGCAGGCAAGAGUUGCCUCUGCAUGUAAUAUCCAAAAAUAAGUGAAGGACCAAAUUCAGCCCUGGGAAUCUGGAGGACGUCCACAUAGGUCAGUUGAGUUACUGAAGAUUUACACGGUUCAAAUACAGAGGAGAAUCCUUCCGGUUUGUGCUACUUUAUUGAUACCAGUGUUUAAUCUCUACAUCACAGAGGGACACAUUGGGUGUUCCUUAAUAGACCAAAACGCCCAUUGACUUCUAUUCCAUUGACUUCAGUGGGAGUUUCGCUCCACUAAAGACUGCAGAAUUUGGCCUAAAGUGACCGCAAUAAUUCUGCUACCGGUAAUGGAGCUUCAAAGCUAGCUCUAAUUAGCAGACAAGUAAGAAUCGUUAAGCCCGGGUACAGUUUAAGUGUAAGGGAGCUGUGAAACAGUUAAACGCUCCUCAUUUCAACCUUACCUUAUCAUAGAAAUCAUACCUCUGUGCCUAUAACCCUUCAAAACGUUACUUAUAGACAAAACUCUUCAUAAAGGAUUUCUGGUUUCAGAACUGAAAUGUUACUGUCACAGCAAGGAAUCACAAAUUACUGGAAAAUUAUAGAAAGUUUCAACAUAAACUGAGCUCCCCCUCCCCCCAAGCUUUAAAGCAAUAAUAACAUAAGCAUGUCUUUAUACAUCUAAAACACACACCCAGUCGCUUUUGUUUGCACGCAAUCCAGAGGACUCCAAAAGAGUUCUGUUAAUUCUGAGCACGAUUUGGUCACACUGGAUCACCACCUUUCUACGCAGCUCUUUUCCUGACAACUUUCUGACUACUGAAGGAAGCAAAAGGAAAGUACAGAACAAUAUCAGCGUUAGCAGGACACGCCAUAUCAAAAUUACACUGUAAAUCUACCCUGGUUACAUCACAAGGGAACCAUGUACAACCUCUUUGCAUGCCCAUCUCCAUAUGUGCUUGCUAAAUUCCAGAGCUGAACUUUCACCAGGCGUUGAAAUGGUGUUAUUAAAUAGCCUGCUACGUUGAUUCCUGCCUAAAUAUUUUCCCCUCUGAAAAAAAAAAAUUCCCCUGAGCUAGAAUUAAUUUUGGAAAGACCAGUUUCACCUUGCCAUAAAUCAGUCUUACUACUGAGAACCGCGCAAGGAUGUUUCUGUUGUCCUGUGUGAAAUACAGCAAAGAAAGUAGAUAGGAAAGUCAAAAACUUUUUUUUAAAAGGACACUCGCAUAACCAAACAAUAAGUAAUCCUCUUGAAAUCCAUCAGGCACGACAAUAAACUGAAAUGGUCCUAAAUCUUGGGUCGUAAC
Molecule: long non-coding RNA, 2293 nt
Filed under: Crocodylus porosus (Australian saltwater crocodile)
Lineage: Eukaryota; Metazoa; Chordata; Crocodylia; Crocodylidae
Description: lncRNA (ENSCPRG00005015525.1)
Source: RNAcentral